Malaclemys terrapin pileata is the source of this 958-nucleotide long non-coding RNA. RefSeq lists it as uncharacterized. The record is from RefSeq and is a predicted model, not a curated record. The transcript is spliced from 4 exons. NCBI's taxonomy places the organism in Eukaryota, Metazoa, Chordata, Testudines, Emydidae.
UAACAGAUCUGCAGAGUCAGUGUCUCCCCCAGGAAUUUCCUGAGGGAAAGGGAUAUUCGAAGUUGCAUCAAUCAAAAUGUAACCUACCUUCCUGGCAAGAGUUUAUUUGCAAGAUUCAGAAGUGCCUGUGACUUGCACUCUCUGGGAGCGAGGGAAUGGAUUGUGCUGACACAAGCACAACUAGGCAGUUCAGACCCAAGCCCAGAAGAUCUCCCAAACACUGAAGAGGCCUGGUCAUCCACACUGUGCACUUGUGCUUCUGCACUGCUUUUGGGACCUGCAUCUCCUCAUAGCAAAGCCCUCAACCCUCCCCUCUAGGAGUGCCUGCAGCAGUGAGGCACUGAAGGAAUCCCUAAGGUGUUGGAACAAUGCCAAGAAGGGUGCAUGACUGGAAUGAAAAUGUGUUUUCUCUCCCUCCUCUGUUUCUACAAUCUGAAAUGAAAAGGCAAGGAGGAGACACUGACAAAUCAGCUCUAAUUACCAGUGUCCCUAAAAAUGAGCCUACAGGAGCAGCUUUUUCUGCAAACGUGAGUAUGUGAUAUGAACUUUUUGUUAAGGACCAUAGGCUUGACUCUCAGUUGGAAUAACUCGGCAUAGCUCUAUUGAAUUCAACAGAACUACUCUGACUUACACCAGCUGAGGAUCUGGCCUCAUAUCGUCUCAGAAGUCGGUUAUAUCCGCAAUGAUAAGGAGGAAGAACUAUGUGAAAAUUGGACUGAAAUCCUGGAUUCUUUGCCAGUUGGACUGCAAACUGCUGCGGGAAAACAUGGGGAAGUGCUAUAUUACCAUGAAGAAAUCAAAAAGAACUUGUGACUUUUGAAUGCUUUUAAGAUUCAAAGGAUCAUGAACAAAUGUUUCUUGCUUUUCAGCUUCAAUGAUUUUGGGUACUGGUGCCCUUGUAGUAUUGGCCCUAGACUACCAAUGACAAUGUUCAUUACACAUCCAUUUAUAAAGCACA